Molecule: non-coding RNA, 27 nt
Filed under: Mus musculus (house mouse)
Lineage: Eukaryota; Metazoa; Chordata; Mammalia; Rodentia; Muridae
Source: RNAcentral
UCCCACGACAGACUGAAGAGACAAGGA